This 497-nucleotide ribosomal RNA is filed under the name uncultured bacterium. RNAcentral describes it as "partial 16S ribosomal RNA". It matches the Rfam family "Bacterial small subunit ribosomal RNA", at positions 28 to 507 of the family's 1533-position model. The record is from RNAcentral.
GAUGAACGCUGGCGGCGUGCCUAAUACAUGCAAGUCGAGCGAACGGACGAGAAGCUUGCUUCUCUGAUGUUAGCGGCGGACGGGUGAGUAACACGUGGAUAACCUACCUAUAAGACUGGGAUAACUUCGGGAAACCGGAUCUAAUACCGGAUAAUAUUUUGAACCGCAUGGUUCAAAAGUGAAAGACGGUCUUGCUGUCACUUAUAGAUGGAUCCGCGCUGCAUUAGCUAGUUGGUAAGGUAACGGCUUACCAAGGCAACGAUGCAUAGCCGACCUGAGAGGGUGAUCGGCCACACUGGAACUGAGACACGGUCCAGACUCCUACGGGAGGCAGCAGUAGGGAAUCUUCCGCAAUGGGCGAAAGCCUGACGGAGCAGCGCCGCGUGAGUGAUGAAGGUCUUCGGAUCGUAAAACUCUGUUAUUAGGGAAGAACAUAUGUGUAAGUAACUGUGCACAUCUUGACGGUACCUAAUCAGAAAGCCACGGCUAACUACGUG